UACGGAGGAUGCAAGCGUUAUCCGGAUUUACUGGGUGUAAAGGGUGCGUAGGCGGCCGGGUAAGUCAGAUGUGAAAUUUAGAGGCUCAACCCCUGAACUGCAUUUGAAACUAUUCGGCUUGAGUGAAGUAGAGGCAGGCGGAAUUCCCUGUGUAGCGGUGAAAUGCGUAGAGAUAGGGAGGAACACCAGUGGCGAAGGCGGCCUGCUGGGCUUUAACUGACGCUGAGGCACGAAAGCGUGGGUAGCAAAC
RNAcentral lists this ribosomal RNA (250 nucleotides) under uncultured prokaryote. RNAcentral describes it as "partial 16S ribosomal RNA". It matches the Rfam family "Bacterial small subunit ribosomal RNA", at positions 524 to 773 of the family's 1533-position model. The record is from RNAcentral.